GUGGAUUAGAUACCCUAGUAGUCCUGGCAGUAAACGGUGCACGUUUGGUGUGGGAGGAUUCGACCCCUUCCGCGCCGGAGCUAACGCGUUAAACGUGCCGCCUGGGGAGUACGGUCGCAAGAUUAAAACUCAAAGAAAUUGACGGGGGCCCGCACAAGCGGUGGAGUAUGUGGCUUAAUUCGAUGCAACGCGAAGAACCUUACCAGGCCUUGACAUGCAUUUCUAAGCGGGUGAAAGACCGUGAGUCCCGAAAGGGACAACUUGCACAGGUGCUGCAUGGUCGUCGACAGCU
RNAcentral lists this ribosomal RNA (292 nucleotides) under uncultured bacterium. RNAcentral's name for it is "partial 16S ribosomal RNA". It matches the Rfam family "Bacterial small subunit ribosomal RNA", at positions 773 to 1060 of the family's 1533-position model. The record is from RNAcentral.